CACUUCUUUAUUUCUCUUUUCCUUACCUCUUUUUAACAAGAAUAUUAAGGAUUGUCUGCUCCAUAUAUUACCUAAAUAAUAAUUACUAGUUGUUAAUUUAGUAUUGCGGUAUAAUAAUAAAGUUAUCCCGAUUAAUUUAAAAAUAUUCAUACUAUUAUCACUAAAGAUUACUCCUCCGUCCGUCCUAAAAAGAAUGAGUUAAGCUAAGUACACUUUUGAGGAGGGAGGAGGGAGUAAUUGAACUCUUUUUGUGAAAAAAAUGAAGAGCAGGAGUAUGUAUAUGUGUGUGUAUAUAUAUAUCGGUCCGGAUCAAGAGCAUACCCCUUAUUCAAUUCACUCGAGCUCACCCUCCUUUUAGCGACGGACCCGGCGACGGUUCGGUCAUAUAACCGUCGUCUAUACUUUUAGCGACGCUAUAUGUUAUCCGUCGUUAAAAGUAUAGACGACGGUUAUAACAAUCUCCGGGUACGUCGCUAAAAGAGGGUGAGCUCGGGUGAGUUAGAUAAGGGGUAAGCUCUUGAUGCUUGCUCUCUCUAUAUAUAUAUCCUCCAUUUUAAGCAAAACUAGAAAAAUCUUAUAAUUUAUGGCAGUGAACAAGCUUCAACAAAUUGAAAAAUGGAACAGGACUACAGGAGAAUACAUCAUAUUAGUAAUCUCUAUGUUCAUCAACACAUAUAUAAUUUGCGUAACAUACUUGCGGUGAAGACCUGCAGUUUCUGAGAUUGUGGAAGCGUUUUUGAUUCCAAAGUAAUAUCCCCAAAAGCACUUCCCGUACAAAUGAGCGAAAUCAAUCUCUUGCUAUGUAUUGUUUUUCAGGCAAAAGGGGUAUUUUCCUUUAUGAAUGAUAUGAAUAUGGUGGUGAUGAGAGAGAGAGAGAGAGUGAUUAUUUUAUUUAUGGGGGAAGAGAGAGAAGCAAGUGUGGGCUCUUACAUUUGAUCUAGGAAGAAGGAUUCUUUGUAGAAGGAGGGAGAUAAUAAUGGUGUUGGAAUACAUCUGAUACAUAUAUUGAAAUUAUCUCUCCAGAUCUAAAGCAAUCUGGGUUCAAAAUUUUCAAUUGACCAAAGAUUUGGAUAAAGAUUUUGGUUUGUUUAUGGUGGGUUUGCUAAAAUUGUAUUAUUUUUAUUAGUUUCUUUAAUUAGUUUAUUUUAGUUGUUCGUUGUAUUAUAUGUUUAGUUAAAUUUAUAUUUUGCUUAGUUGUUUGUUAUAGAAAUAGUGCCAC
This 1219-nucleotide long non-coding RNA is filed under the name Panax ginseng (ginseng). Its description in RNAcentral is "long non-coding RNA (PGIN_LNC008190)". Lineage: Eukaryota; Viridiplantae; Streptophyta; Magnoliopsida; Apiales; Araliaceae. The record is from RNAcentral.